GCUCAGUUGGUUAAACGUCCAACUCUUGGUUUCAGCUCAGGUCAUGAUCUCACAGUUCGUGGGUUCAAGCCCCACAUCGAGCU
This 83-nucleotide transfer RNA is filed under the name Felis catus (domestic cat). It matches the Rfam family "tRNA". From Rfam's summary of the family: Transfer RNA (tRNA) molecules are approximately 80 nucleotides in length. Their secondary structure includes four short double-helical elements and three loops (D, anti-codon, and T loops). The record is from Rfam by way of RNAcentral. Lineage: Eukaryota; Metazoa; Chordata; Mammalia; Carnivora; Felidae. RNAcentral also lists the same sequence under 3 other names.